UGGUAGGUUAACACAAUUUUGGACGUUAUAAAAUGACUGGAGGAAUGUAGCUUCGAUUUUUCGAAGUGUUAUGCCUUUGGUAAAUGUGACGACCGGGAUUGAGGAUUACAACGAAUGCUUUUUGGCUAUCCUCUGGCCUCUGAUGGUUUCUUUGGGAUCGAAAGCGUGCUUACGAUUUCAAAGCUGGCUGCAAAAGGUUUAGAACGAGAUUAAAUUCGUUAAGGAUGUUGACGUAAUGGCUUUAAACGA
Molecule: ribosomal RNA, 249 nt
Filed under: uncultured Glomeromycotina
Lineage: Eukaryota; Fungi; Glomeromycota
Description: partial 28S ribosomal RNA
Source: RNAcentral